Molecule: ribosomal RNA, 483 nt
Filed under: uncultured bacterium
Lineage: Bacteria
Description: partial 16S ribosomal RNA
Rfam family: Bacterial small subunit ribosomal RNA
Source: RNAcentral
AGUGAACGCUGGCGGCGUGCUUAACACAUGCAAGUCGAACGAGAACGGAUUAUAGCUUGCUAUAAUUGUCAGCUAAGUGGCGCACGGGUGAGUAAUGUAUAGGUAAUAUGCCUCUUACUAAGGGAUAACAAAUGGAAACGUUUGCUAAUACCUUAUACUCCUUAUUAACAGAAGUUAAUAAGGGAAAGAUUUAUUGGUAAGAGAUUAGCCUGUAUUGUAUCAGUUAGUUGGUGGGGUAAUGGCUUACCAAGACUAUGACACAUAACUGGUUUGAGGGGAUGAUCAGUUAUACUGGAAAUGGGACACGGGCCAGAAUCCUACGGGAUGCAGCAGUGGGGAAUAUUGCACGAUGAACGAAAGACUGAUGCAGCAACGCGCGUGGAGGAUGACACAUUUCGGUGCGUAAACUCCUUUUAUAUGAGAAGAUAAAGACGGUAUUAUACGAAUAAGCACCGGCUAACUCCGUGCCAGCCGCCGCAGUAA